Phascolarctos cinereus (koala) is the source of this 559-nucleotide non-coding RNA. Lineage: Eukaryota; Metazoa; Chordata; Mammalia; Diprotodontia; Phascolarctidae. The record is from RefSeq and is a predicted model, not a curated record.
AUAGAUAUGAAUUUUGGCAUUAAAACUACUUUCUCAUGAGAAAAUAAGGAUCUUUAGUUGCUUAGUUUGUGUUUGCUAUUAAUUAGCACUUGUAGAUCAUUUCUCAUGGUACAAAGCUGUUUUUCUAUGGGUGUAUAAUGAGAAAACUCCUGAAAUAAACUAGUCUUGAGCAUUAACCUCUAAGACUCACCUAGCCCAACUUUUCUUUCUCCGUUUUUCCUCACUGCUCUGUCCUACAUCAUGCCAGCUGCUGGCAGUUGGUGCCUAAACAAGGACCACUUCAGCCUUGGACGGGGACCACUUAACCUGGAAGAUUGAAGACAGAACAUGACACAGUGGUGCCUUACCGGAUCAGAGCUCCACUACAACAAGAGACAGAGGAAGAAACAGCAUGGCAUGAGAGGCAAGUACCCCAGACUGAUGUGGGCUCAUAUCCCAGAUGCUUACGCCACCCUCCUCACCUCCUCUGCUCCUUCACAAAGAUCAGAAUGGUAUAGUAGGCCACACAGGAAGCAGGCUGAUCGUUCCUGAGCUUUUCGUUAUGUGACAUUUAAAAAGU